Molecule: ribosomal RNA, 451 nt
Filed under: uncultured bacterium
Lineage: Bacteria
Description: bacterial SSU rRNA
Rfam family: Bacterial small subunit ribosomal RNA
Source: RNAcentral
GACGAACGCUGGCGGCGUGCUUCACACAUGCAAGUCGAACGAGGUAGCAAUACCUAGUGGCGGACGGGUGAGUGACGCGUGGGAAUCUGCCUUUGGAUGGGGGAUAACGGGUCGAAAGACUCGCUAAUACCGCAUAUGACGAAAGUUGAAAGGAGUAAUCCGUCUAAAGAUGAGCCCGCGUCCGAUUAGCUAGUUGGUAGAGUAAAAGCCUACCAAGGCGACGAUCGGUAGCUGGUCUGAGAGGAUGAUCAGCCACAAUGGGACUGAGACACGGCCCAUACUCCUACGGGAGGCAGCAGUGGGAAUUUACGCAAUGGGCGAAAGCCUGACGUAGCGACACCGCGUGAGCGAAGAAGCCCCUUGGGGUGUAAAGCUCUGUCAGCUGGAACGAAAAAAUGACGGUACCAGCAGAGGAAGCAUCGGCUAACUACGUGCCAGCAGCCGCGGUAAU